GGCUGGUGGUGUUUUUCUAGGAUCAUGUAUCCUCCAAAAAAUGGGGUGGGAUCCACAAGUGUCUACCCUUAAUUUGGGCCCAUCAUGUUUUUGCCAAAAUUUGGCCUAAGGUGCACAAACUUGUCUAAAAAAAACUAGACUAGUAAAUUACAAUUUUGAUUAAAAGUUAAAUGCCUAAUUGUAGAGUCUUUAAUUAAUUUGUCUCCAUCCCAAUGCUCCAAAAUAUGUCUCCAAUAUUUUCCCU
RNAcentral lists this long non-coding RNA (244 nucleotides) under Vigna radiata. Its description in RNAcentral is "long non-coding RNA (VRAD_LNC013464)". Lineage: Eukaryota; Viridiplantae; Streptophyta; Magnoliopsida; Fabales; Fabaceae. The record is from RNAcentral.